GAUGAACGCUGGCGGCAUGCCUAAUACAUGCAAGUCGAGCGAACAGACGAGGAGCUUGCUCUUCUGACGUUAGCGGCGGACGGGUGAGUAACACGUGGAUAACCUAUCUAUAAGACUGUGAUAACUUCGGGAAACCGGUGAUAAUACCGGAUAAUAUCUUGAAACGCAUGGUUCAAUAGUGAAAGACGGCUUUGCUGUUACUUAUUGAUGGAUCCGCGCCGCAUUAGCUAGUUGGUCUGGUAACGGGCUACCAAGGCAACGAUGCGUAGCCGGGCUGAGAGGGUGAUCGGCCACACUGGAACUGAGACACGGUCCAGACUCCUACGGGAGGCAGCAGUAGGGAAUCUUCCGCAAUGGGCGAAAGCUUGACGGAGCAACGCCGCGUGAGUGAUGAAGGUCUUCGGAUCGUAAAACUCUGUUAUUAGGGAAGAACAAAUGUGUAAGUAUCUAGGCACGUCUUGACGGUACCUAAUCAGAAAGCCACGGCUAACUACGUG
Molecule: ribosomal RNA, 497 nt
Filed under: uncultured bacterium
Lineage: Bacteria
Description: partial 16S ribosomal RNA
Rfam family: Bacterial small subunit ribosomal RNA
Source: RNAcentral